AUGAUCUCAUGGUUCAGGGCUCUGGGUGGGGAGCAGUGCUGCUGCUGGGCUUGUUUUAACAAGCUCUUCUUGCAGGGCAGCUGCUGGAGGCAGUUCCACCAGAGAGGCAAAACCCUUGUGGUUGCGGGAGCAGAACAAGUUCCUUCUAGACACUUGAGAAUAAGGAAGAGUGCAGAAAGGCUGUGCUGGGCCUUAAAUUCACCUUCAGGAACAACUCUUGGCCCAAGCUGCCUUAUCACAAAGAAUGAUAGCAGCACAUCACUGCAGGAGAGCUUGGAGUUGCUACUGCAGUCCCAGGGAUGUGCUGGAGUUGUGGAGACCUCCCUGGGCAGAGAGGAAGCCUUGCCAGCACCUGGCUGUCCUAAGCAUCCAUUUAUAGAUCUGAAAUCCUAG
This 393-nucleotide long non-coding RNA is filed under the name Cyanistes caeruleus (blue tit). RNAcentral's name for it is "lncRNA (ENSCCEG00000016474.1)". The record is from RNAcentral. Lineage: Eukaryota; Metazoa; Chordata; Aves; Passeriformes; Paridae.